CAGGCCUAACACAUGCAAGUCGAGCGGACUUAUCCUUUGGGAUAGGUUAGCGGCGGACGGGUGAGUAACACGUAGGCAACCUGCCUGUAAGAUCGGGAUAACUACCGGAAACGGUAGCUAAGACCGGAUAGCUGGUUUCUCCGCAUGGGGGAAUCAUGAAACAUGGGGCAACCUAUGGCUUACGGAUGGGCCUGCGGCGCAUUAGCUAGUUGGUGGGGUAAUGGCCCACCAAGGCGACGAUGCGUAGCCGACCUGAGAGGGUGAUCGGCCACACUGGGACUGAGACACGGCCCAGACUCCUACGGGAGGCAGCAGUAGGGAAUCUUCCGCAAUGGGCGCAAGCCUGACGGAGCAACGCCGCGUGAGUGAUGAAGGUUUUCGGAUCGUAAAGCUCUGUUGCCAGGGAAGAACGCCUCGGAGAGUAACUGCUCUGAGGGUGACGGUACUUGAGAAGAAAGCCCCGGCUAACUACGUGCCAGCAGCCGCGGUAAUACGUAGGGGGCAAGCGUUGUCCGGAAUUAUUGGGCGUAAAGCGCGCGCAGGCGGUCUUUUAAGUUUGGUGUUUAAGCCCGGGGCUCAACCCCGGUUCGCACUGAAAACUGGGAGACUUGAGUGCAGGAGAGGAAAGCGGAAUUCCACGUGUAGCGGUGAAAUGCGUAGAGAUGUGGAGGAACACCAGUGGCGAAGGCGGCUUUCUGGACUGUAACUGACGCUGAGGCGCGAAAGCGUGGGGAGCAAACAGGAUUAGAU
This 750-nucleotide ribosomal RNA is filed under the name uncultured bacterium. RNAcentral describes it as "bacterial SSU rRNA". It matches the Rfam family "Bacterial small subunit ribosomal RNA", at positions 43 to 783 of the family's 1533-position model. The record is from RNAcentral.